UGGCUCAGAUUGAACGCUGGCGGCAGGCUUAACACAUGCAAGUCGAGCGGAAACGAUGAUAGCUUGCUAUCAGGCGUCGAGCGGCGGACGGGUGAGUAAUACUUAGGAAUCUACCUAGUAGUGGGGGAUAGCACGGGGAAACUCGUAUUAAUACCGCAUACGACCUACGGGAGAAAGGGGGCAGUUUACUGCUCUCGCUAUUAGAUGAGCCUAAGUCGGAUUAGCUAGAUGGUGGGGUAAAGGCCUACCAUGGCGACGAUCUGUAGCUGGUCUGAGAGGAUGAUCAGCCACACCGGGACUGAGACACGGCCCGGACUCCUACGGGAGGCAGCAGUGGGGAAUAUUGGACAAUGGGGGAAACCCUGAUCCAGCCAUGCCGCGUGUGUGAAGAAGGCCUUUUGGUUGUAAAGCACUUUAAGCAGUGAAGAAGACUCCUCGGUUAAUACCCGUGGACGAUGACAUUAGCUGCAGAA
This 473-nucleotide ribosomal RNA is filed under the name Psychrobacter sp. 'Disko Bay 207'. RNAcentral's name for it is "bacterial SSU rRNA". It matches the Rfam family "Bacterial small subunit ribosomal RNA", at positions 20 to 486 of the family's 1533-position model. The record is from RNAcentral. Lineage: Bacteria; Pseudomonadati; Pseudomonadota; Gammaproteobacteria; Moraxellales; Moraxellaceae.